RNAcentral lists this transfer-messenger RNA (382 nucleotides) under Kushneria phosphatilytica. Its description in RNAcentral is "Standard tmRNA". It matches the Rfam family "transfer-messenger RNA". Rfam says of the family: Bacterial tmRNA, also known as 10Sa RNA or SsrA, is named for its dual tRNA and mRNA-like properties. Its role is to liberate the mRNA from a stalled ribosome. The record is from RNAcentral. Lineage: Bacteria; Pseudomonadati; Pseudomonadota; Gammaproteobacteria; Oceanospirillales; Halomonadaceae.
GGGGGCGUUCCGGAUUCGACGCCGGUAGUGAUCCCUGAGGUGCAUGCCGAGAGCGUAGCGUAUCUCGUAAAUCCAACGUUACUUUUAAAAUAGUCGCAAACGACGAAACCUAUGCUCAGGAAGGUGCACUCGCAGCAUAAACCCUGCGGGUAAUCUUUCUACCCUGAAGCGAUGUGCCUGUUCAUCGUGGAUGGGCGUGAGCCAAAGCUGACAGGAUCGCGAAUGACGGCGUCUUCACGUCAUUCGUUAAAACUCCGGAGACUCGCUGUAUCGGAUCCUGAUCGUCGGAGCCGAUGCGGCUAAACCAAAAGACGGAACUAAGCAUGUAGAUCCGAAGGGCUAGCACCGGCGGACGCGGGUUCAACUCCCGCCGCCUCCACCA